AUACGGAGGGUGCGAGCGUUAAUCGGAAUUACUGGGCGUAAAGCGCGCGUAGGCGGUUUUGUAAGUCGGAUGUGAAAGCCCCGGGCUUAACCUGGGAACUGCAUUCGAAACUGCAAGACUGGAGUAUGGGAGGGGGAAGUGGAAUUCCUGGUGUAGCGGUGAAAUGCGUAGAUAUCAGGAGGAACAUCAGUGGCGAAGGCGACUCACUGGACUAAUACUGACGCUGAGGUGCGAAAGCGUGGGGAGCAAACAGGAUUAGAAACCCGAGUAGUCC
RNAcentral lists this ribosomal RNA (274 nucleotides) under uncultured bacterium. RNAcentral describes it as "partial 16S ribosomal RNA". It matches the Rfam family "Bacterial small subunit ribosomal RNA", at positions 523 to 796 of the family's 1533-position model. The record is from RNAcentral.